GUGUCAGCCGCCGCGGUAAUACGGAAGGGGCAAGCGUUGUUCGGAAUCAUUGGGCGUAAAGGGCGCGUAGGCGGUCGCGUGUGUCUGCUGUGAAAGCGCACGGCUCAACCGUGUGAAGUCGGUAGAAACUGCGGGACUUGAGGCUGGGAGAGGUUGGUGGAAUUCCCUGUGUAGCGGUGAAAUGCGUAGAUAUAGGGGAGAACACUCGUGGCGAAGGCGGCCAGCUGGACCAGCCCUGACGCUGAGGCGCGACAGCGUGGGGAGCAAACAGGAUUAGAUACCCUCGUAGUCC
This 292-nucleotide ribosomal RNA is filed under the name uncultured bacterium. RNAcentral's name for it is "partial 16S ribosomal RNA". It matches the Rfam family "Bacterial small subunit ribosomal RNA", at positions 505 to 796 of the family's 1533-position model. The record is from RNAcentral.